This is a long non-coding RNA of Ailuropoda melanoleuca (giant panda), 1706 nucleotides long. RefSeq lists it as uncharacterized. The transcript is spliced from 3 exons. NCBI's taxonomy places the organism in Eukaryota, Metazoa, Chordata, Mammalia, Carnivora, Ursidae. The record is from RefSeq and is a predicted model, not a curated record.
CUAACGACCUGGGAAUGGCUGGGAGAGAAGCCUGGCAUGUGAGGGAGCCACCGUAAGAGAAACCGUCCCAGAAGAGAGGCGCUAACUAGGUGAAGACAUAUGACUCUGAGCGCUCCUUCUUAAUUCUAAUGGAGGGAGAGCCUGGCACUGAGCCAGGAAACAGAAAAGGCAUGAAAGGAAGAACUAAUUUGGAGCUGGCGAAGGGAGUGUUUUCUGGCUUAUUUAAACACAUAGAUAUAGAAUUCAAACAGGGAGGAGGAAUCUGACUACCAGAUGGAACGGCUGCGUGAGGCAGGAUGUCAGCAAUGGAGUCAACAAUGCCCAGGCAUGAAAGGAGACAUUUUGACAGCAGGGAAGCCAUAGAAAGAAAGAUGCUUGGUGGACUGGGUGGGUUCACCUUAUUCUCAGUACUUUAUUUCCAUCUAAAUCCCUUGGAGGCAGAGGUAGAGGACAGCUAAUCGAGACCUCACCAAACAUGGAUUUAUUGGAUGUCCAUUAUGAGGCAGGCACUGGGUUGGCACCCAGGGAUCCAUCAAGGAGCAUGACCGAGAUUCUCUGCUCACAGAGAGCAUCCAUUCUUGUUGUCAUUUAGACGGUCAAACACACAAAGGACCCUGGCUUGCAGGAUCAGAACUCAGAGGACAGCCGAGAAGAAGAAAGGCCAUGGAAGAACACAGCUAGAAUGUGGCUACCUGCAGACCAAGGAAAGAAGUCUCACAAAAACCAAUCCUGCUGGGACCUUCAUCUCGAACUCCCAGCCUCCAGAACAGUGAGAAGUCCGUGCCUGUGGUUUAAACCCCCCAGUCUGUGGUACUUUGUUCUGGCAGCACAAGCUGACUGAUACACACUGUGUUUGGGCUGAAAGGAAAGAAAAGGAAAAAACAGAUGUUGUCAGCCAGGAGCUGGCCCUGUAUUUACAGUUCUCUGUUGAACAGAAACAGUUUCACAGAAAACAUUAAACCAGGCCACCACGAGGCCAUCAUGGGUCAGGACAAAAACAAGAUCACACUCUGGAACCAUGUCUUGACCCAGAUAAAACAUGAACAUUGUCCAAACCACAGAAAUAACCAAACAUCUGUCUAUUUUGGUUAAUAUGAGUGACUGCUGCCUCUUUAUAAAUUAGAGCAUUAGCCUCACCCACCCUUUCCUCCUUCUAGAUAAGAUUCAUUCUUGAAUGACCUUCAUUUCCUGAAGGCAUCCAGUCCAGAGUAAGGCUCCACUUCUCUAAAAUCUCUCCCAAAACACGGGACACAAGCCCAAAUUUUAUCAUAAGUCCUGUCUAAGACUUACAGAGGUUUCCCAUGGUUCCCAUGGGCAUUAAACCCAGCUUGGUCAAUUAUAGGUGUGUCGUGUGUCUGGUGGUCACUGACUGAAGGACAUUGACAAAAGUAUGAGUGUGUGUACGGUUUUCGAAACAAAUAUUUAGCAUUGCAUAUUGUUAUGAACUGGAUGUUUGCAUACCCCGUUCCAUUCCUAGGUCCACCCUUAAUCCCCACUGUGAUGGUGGUUAGAGGUGGAGACUUUAAGAAGUAUUCAGGUUUAGAUGGGGUCGUGAGGGAAUUCCUUAUGAUGGGAUUCAUGCUUUUGUAAGAAGAGGAGGACAGAGAACUCUCACUCCCUUCAUGUGCCUGAUCCAGGAAAAGCCAUGUGAGGACACAGCAAGACAGUGGCCAUCUAUAAGCCAGGAAGAGAGCUUUCACCAGGAA